UAAGAAAUAUGGACCUCUUGCCUGUCCUAGAAGCUUUAUAUACAUAUAGAUAGACAAGAGAAAUGGGAGGAAAAAAAUGAAGACUCCAUGAUUUUUCGAUUGAGUCUAAUCUAAUAGGUCCCGAGGACUUUCUCCAGAAGAGCAAAGAUGCAUUGGAAAGCAAUUAUGUGUCUGAACACCUUCACGAGUGGAUUGAUCUAAUAUUUGGCUACAAACAAAAAGGGAGUGAUGCAGUUGGGGCCCAUAAUGUAUUUCAUCCCCUGACCUAUGAAGGAGGUGUAGACUUGAACAGCAUCCAGGAUCCUGAUGAGAAGGUAGCCAUGCUUACGCAAAUCUUGGAAUUUGGGCAGACACCAAAACAACUAUUUGUGACACCACAUCCUCGAAGGAUCACCCCGAAGUUUAAAAGUUUGUCCCAGACCUCCAGUUAUAAUGCUUCUAUGGCAGAUUCCCCAGGUGAAGAGUCUUUUGAAGACCUGACCGAAGAAAGCAAAACACUGGCCUGGAAUAACAUCACCAAACUGCAGUUACACGAGCACUAUAAAAUCCACAAAGAAGCAGUUACUGGAAUCACGGUCUCUCGCAAUGGAUCUUCAGUAUUCACAACAUCCCAAGAUUCCACCUUGAAGAUGUUUUCUAAAGAAUCAAAAAUGCUACAAAGAAGUAUAUCAUUUUCAAAUAUGGCUUUAUCGUCUUGUUUACUUUUACCAGGAGAUGCCACUGUCAUAACUUCUUCAUGGGAUAAUAAUGUGUAUGU
RNAcentral lists this small RNA (757 nucleotides) under Pan troglodytes (chimpanzee). RNAcentral's name for it is "retained intron". Lineage: Eukaryota; Metazoa; Chordata; Mammalia; Primates; Hominidae. The record is from RNAcentral.